CCUACGGGGGGCAGCAGUGAGGAAUAUUGGUCAAUGGGCGCAAGCCUGAACCAGCCAAGUCGCGUGAGGGCUGACGGUCCUAUGGAUUGUAAACCUCUUUUGUCGGGGAGCAAGGCCCGCCACGUGUGGCUGGAAGGAGAGUACCCGAAGAAAACGCAUCGGCAAACUCCGUGCCAGCAGCCGCGGUAAUACGGAGGAUGCGAGCGUUAUCCGGAGUUAUUGGGUUUAAAGGGUGCGUAGGCGGAAGGUUAAGUCAGCGGUCAAAUGUCGGUGCUCAACACCGGCCUGCCGUUGAAACUGGUCGUCUUGAGUGAGCGAGAAGUAUGCGGAAUGCGUGGUGUAGCGGUGAAAUGCAUAGAUAUCACGCAGAACUCCGAUUGCGAAGGCAGCAUACCGGCGCUCAACUGACGCUGAGGCACGAAAGCGUGGGGAUCGAACAGGAUUAGAUACCCCUGUAGUC
RNAcentral lists this ribosomal RNA (460 nucleotides) under uncultured bacterium. RNAcentral's name for it is "partial 16S ribosomal RNA". It matches the Rfam family "Bacterial small subunit ribosomal RNA", at positions 338 to 795 of the family's 1533-position model. The record is from RNAcentral.